AAUCCGCCAACUACCGCGCCGCCUCCGACCACGGCCUCCCCGCCGCCGGUUCCCGUAGCUCCUCGUCCGUCGACGCCUUCUACUCCGGGAACCCCACCCCCAACCACCAGCCCAUCGCCGCCUGCCCCAACCGUUCCAUCUGGAUCCCCUCCGUCGCCGCCAGCCCCCGCCGGCGGAGGUUCUCCCUCUCCACCUACUAGGGGAACCCCGCCGGCGCCGCCGACCAGGACUGGGUCUCCUCCUGGCUCGUCGGGGUCGCCUCCGUCGGCGCCGGCUUCUAAUGACUCGGGGAUAUCGACGGGGAUGGUGGUUGGGAUUGCUGUGGGAGGCGUUGCUUUGCUAGUGAUUCUGAGUUUGAUGUUUAUAUGCUGCAAGAAGAAGAAGAGAAGACAGCAACCUGAUUAUUACAUACCUCCACCGCCUCCUGGCUAUAAAGGUGAUAAAUACAUGCAUCAACUCUCCCCA
Molecule: long non-coding RNA, 465 nt
Filed under: Salvia miltiorrhiza (redroot sage)
Lineage: Eukaryota; Viridiplantae; Streptophyta; Magnoliopsida; Lamiales; Lamiaceae
Description: long non-coding RNA (SMIL_LNC005041)
Source: RNAcentral